GUCAGGGGGGCAAAGCGGAGCCUCUUCUGGAAAUUCUCAUGGAACAAGAGAGAGAGAGAGUUCUGCCAUGCCCCCGUCCAUCGGCCCAGGUAGCUUCUGUUUCAGGAAAAAAGAAACUGUCUCCUGAUGCAGCUGGAAGAAGCCACCCGCCUCACGUCCUACCUCCAGUCCUAGUUACAAAGGUGGCCAAGGCAAGUGCGAGAGUGAAUAAUCACCUACAGGCAAAGCUGACCAAGAAAACUUCUCAGAAACCGCCCACCACGAGGAACCUUAGAAAAAUCGGAGGCUCAAAACUCUGUAGCCAGGGUUCCAAGGUGAAUGAAGAGCUGAAUCAGAACGGACCAGAGGAGGUCCCAGAGAGUGUGGAGAUGCCUGUCAUUCCAGCGGGACCGGUGGGCAGCCAGUGACUUGAAGGUGGCCAAGGCAAGUGCGAGAGUGAAUAAUCACCUACAG
Bos taurus (domestic cattle) is the source of this 453-nucleotide long non-coding RNA. NCBI's taxonomy places the organism in Eukaryota, Metazoa, Chordata, Mammalia, Artiodactyla, Bovidae. The record is from Ensembl.